AGUUCUUGGAGGGAAGGAUCCGGGGUAUAUUUGGAAACAGCAUUUCUACCCCAGUGUAGGGGUAAAGUCUGCAUACAUACUACCCUCCUCAGAUCUCACUAAGUGGGAUUAUACUGGAUUGUUGUUGUAAAGCAAACUAUUCUAAACGUAUAGCUAAAGAGUGCCAUUGGGAAAGAGUUCCUUUAUAAGCAAGGGACUUGUAUGAACGGACUACACAUUGCAAAGUUCAUCAAUGUAUAGUUCUAGCCUCAAUCAAUCCACUAAAGAUACAUUCUUCAUAGCAAUUACUGAAUCUUUGCAUAGAACAGCGUAUUUGUAACAUUGAUGUCAAGCAGACAAGAUAUACAGUAACACUUUCAGUAAACAGACUGGUAUGUACAACAUCUAGAGGCAGCUCCAAUAUCCAAAAAUAACACCAAGUGCCUUCAAAAAUAUAGGAAUAUACCACUGGCAACUAUUUACACAAAAAAUGUGGAACACUUUGUUAAGGCGGCCAAAUAUCUAAGAUUGGUAUGUACAACAUCUAGAGGCCACUUCAAUAUCCAAAAGUAACACCAAGUGCCUUAAAAAACAUAGGCACACGCCACUGGCAACUAUUUACACAAAAAAUGUGAAGUCACAUUCAACUGGUAACUUCAACUUUUGAUGAUGAGCUAUUUGCAAAGUAAGUCCUGUAGAAAUAAAUUCCAUGAAAAGUCUUAGUUGAUCAGCAAAGCAACAUCUUUCUUUUCUUGCAUCAUAGUAGUCUUCUUCUAAUCAGAAUCUCCAGUAACAUCUGAAGCAUAAAUAUAUGUCACUCUCAUUAGUCUAUUUUUGAGAAAUCUAUUGAAGAAUGAUGGAGAAUGUUUUACCUUCAAAAUUCUGAUAAAAAAUUUAUAUUCCUUGCAGAAAAAGAGGCAAAAAGUUUAAACACAAAAAUAGAUAGUCUAGAUGCACAACUUCCAACCAAUUACAAUAUCUGAAGGUAAAAACAUAAUUAUGUUAUUAAUCAGAGCGUACAGUCACACAAAAAUAAUUGAUGGUAUUAAAAAAAAAAGGAUUACAGUUGAAUGCUUACUGUAUAGCUAACACAUAAAGAAUACUCCCUCCUUUUCAUAUUGUUUGAGGUAGUUUGACUCGACACGAAGUUUAAGAAAAAAGAAGAAGACUUUUAAAAUUUAUGGUCUUAAAAGAUUAAGGGCUAAAAGGUUUGUGGGGCCAUACCAUUUGUGUGGCUAUAAAAGCUUCUCAUUAAGGGUAAAAUGAAGAGUUUAAAGUUGAAUUAUUUCCAAAUUUGAAAAUGUGUUAUUCAUUUUGGAACAGACGAAAAACGAAAGUAUCUCAAACAAUAUGAAAUGGAGGCCCUCCGUUUCAUAUUGUUUGAGGUAGUUUGACUCGAGAGGGAGUUUAAGAAAAAAGAACUUUUAAAACUUGUGGUCUUAAAAGAUAAAGGGGUAAAAUGUUUGUGGGGACAUACCAUUUGUGUGGCUAUAAAAACUUCUCACUAAGUGCAAAAAUGGUAAAAUGAAGAGUUUAAAGUUGAAUUAUUUCCAAAUUUAGAAAUGUGUAACUACUCUAUUGUUAUUGUUUUUGUUUUUGUCUUUGUUUUUGUUUUUGUUUUACUGCUGUUUUUCCUUUUAUCUUAUGAGCUGAGGGUCGAUUGGAAACAGCCUCUCUGCCCUUUCGGGUAGGGGUAAGGCUCGUCUACGUAUUACCCUCCCCAGACCCCCACCUGGUGGGAGUAUACUGGGUAGUUGUUGUUGUUGUAUUUUACAACAUACAAAAAGGAAAGUACCUCAAACAACAUGAAACAGAGGUAGUUGCCUAUCUAGCUUCAAAUCUAAAUGUUUCUAAAGAUUCAAUCCAAUCAUUUCCCAAAAUCACCAGCAUCAAAUUCUUCUUUGCAACACUCCACUUAUCCUUUUGCAUUUUUUCUAGUGACAAAUGAUAAUCUGUCAACAAAGGAAAAUGAUAUAACAGAGAAAAAUUUUGUACAGUCGCUCUACUAAUGAACCCAUAUUUUCCAUAAUUUUCAUUUUCUUUCUCUCUUUUAAAGCUUGUUGCAACUCAGUUUCAACAUUCUUCCUUCGUUCAGCUAUCUUCUAUUCCACUUCCAACUGUAUCUCUUUCUUCAUUUUGGUCUUUAUUUGUUUCUAAGAUGCGAGAAACGAGGCUGGGGUGGUUCGGGCAUGCGCAGAGGAGAAGUCCUGAUGCCCCGGUGAGGAGUUGUGAGCGGCUGGCGAUUGUGGCCGUUCGGCGAGGCAGAGGGAGGCCUAAGAGGUAUUGGGGAUAGGUAAUUAGGCAUGACAUGGCUAGAAUGCGGGUUUCCGAGGACAUGCUUGAGAGGAAAGUCUAGAGGUCUAGUAUCAGGGUUGUAGGAUAGGGCCCUAGAGUUUUUCGUACUCCUCACCCAACCCUGAGUGAGGCUAGGCAGGGCUAUCCAUAGAUGAUUUGUGUUUUGGAUUGUGUCUCCCUUAGAGUAGUUAUUUAUGAUAGUUACUGUAUGAUAUUAUUGCAUGCUAUUUUAUUUAUGGUUCUUAUGNNNNNNNNNNNNNNNNNNNNNNNNNNNNNNNNNNNNNNNNNNNNNNNNNNNNNNNNNNNNNNNNNNNNNNNNNNNNNNNNNNNNNNNNNNNNNNNNUAUUUUAUUUAUGGUUCUUAUGUUUAGAUAAUUAUUUACGCUAUUUCUACUGGAGUUACUAAUGCUCUUUUGUUUUUGUUUUUGUUUUCGUUUUCGUUUUCGUUUUCGUUUUUGUUUUCGUUUUCGUUUUCGUUUUCGUUUUCGUUUUCGUUUUCGUUUUCCUUCACUGAGCCGAGGGUCGAUUGGAAACAACCUCUCUGCCCUUUCGGGUAGGGGUANNNNNNNNNNNNNNNNNNNNNNNNNNNNNNNNNNNNNNNNNNNNNNNNNNNNNNNNNNNNNNNNNCCUCUCUGCCCUUUCGGGUAGGGGUAAGGCUCGUCUACAUAUUACCCUCCCCAGACCUCACUUUGUGGGACUAUACUGGGUAGUAGUAGUUGUUGUAAUUGGUUCCAUAAUUGAAGCAUGUAUAUUAUUUUCACUUAUGCAGUAUGUUAAAGAAAAUUACAUACGAUCUCAAGUGGCUGUUUCAGCAUUAUCAUAAGAGCAUUAGCACCGAAUUUAAGUGUAGUUGAAGCUUUGAACAUGAAUAAAAACACAUAUUAUCAAACACUUACAAGACAAAGAGAGUAAACAACUGCAGCACCACAUGUUUAGGUCAAACAAAAAUCAACAUGAACCCAACAUUAAGAAAACCAAAAUUUUAUUAAUAGAGCAAAAUAAAAUAUUCAACUAAAAUUAAUCAUAAAGAAUACAAAUGAGGUGGUAAAGAAGAUCUUACAGUGAAAAGGAGUUAACUUUGGGGCUUAAGCUUCAGGUAGCCUUUUCUUGCUAUAAACACCAUUUCUUGACAAUGAUACAGCCUAUAAGAAAAUCCACAUACAAAAUAUUGAUAUUCCAUUUCAGUUUUUUUUUUGAAUUUUUCAAUAGAAUUCGAAUUCAAAAACAUCUAAAGCAAUAACACAAUCAGCAAAAAAAAUAAAGAAAUUGCACUUAUGGAUAUGCAAAAUAAGUUGUUAUUACAGAUCAGAAAAGCUGAGUUCAUUGGUAAGGAAAUUACACUGACAGAGACAAAAAAUCAAAGUUUUCAGAACUGUUUCAGUCUGUGAGAUCGAACAGAAAUCCUUAAUUUAAACACCUACGAAUUUUAAUGAAAUACCAGCGAGUAAAGAAGAACGACGGAGAAAUUCUCGUGUUGUUACUGAGAAAUCCUGCAAAAGCUCAUGGAGAACAUUCCACAGAAGAUACAGAGGGAGAGAGAUGGUGGGAGUAAAAUCCGAUGAAAUUUCUGGAAAACAUCGACGAAAAAUAGAAGGUAUCUGAAUAUACUUAAAUACCAUUUAGCAGCAAGUACCAAAAUAGCCCUUGGGAAGCAGACAUGACGACCCCCAGCUGCUUCCACUCACUCUUCUAUAUAUGAAGUAAUAUUGUGACUGAAUCCAGGAAUUUUUUUAAGGGUGU
This 4013-nucleotide long non-coding RNA is filed under the name Nicotiana benthamiana. RNAcentral describes it as "long non-coding RNA (NBEN_LNC039046)". The record is from RNAcentral. Lineage: Eukaryota; Viridiplantae; Streptophyta; Magnoliopsida; Solanales; Solanaceae.